CUUUUGUUGUGUUUAGACCACAUACCUCCAGCCCUUCCUCACACUGCAGCCCGUGUCGAAGCACAGGAAGGCUGGAUAGUCCAAAGUGCUCUAGUGUUUUCAAACUCUCAACUUUCUGCCGUUGGCUGGGAAUUUCUGUGCCGCUCCUAAGCCUUGUGCUUCCUCCUCCAUGGGGUAAGAAGAGUGGCCUCUUUGGGUGGCUGUAACUGAAGAUUGCUUCCCGGGAGCAACUGAGGAAGGUUAAAGAGUGAAUGUGAGCAAAAAGUACCCCUCUCCUGCCACCACGCAGUUUCCAAACGGUGCUACUCACAGGCAGCCUCUUUAAAGGUAUUAUGUUAAACCGUUACGGGCUGGAGUGGUAUGUUU
This 366-nucleotide long non-coding RNA is filed under the name Dromaius novaehollandiae (emu). Its description in RNAcentral is "lncRNA (ENSDNVG00000013766.1)". The record is from RNAcentral. Lineage: Eukaryota; Metazoa; Chordata; Aves; Casuariiformes; Dromaiidae.